AGCAGGCAGAGCAAACUUGUCUCUGCUGCAGAAACACGGAUUAUAGAUCAACAUCCUGGCUCGCCUCACAAAGAACCGCAAUUCUCCUUUCAAUUGUUUUAUGUGUUGCUCAUGUCUGUGUGACUAUAACAGAUGCUUGUUUUGUUUCAGGAAACGAUCAGAUUGGUAUUUGGGGGAAUGAACAACAUAUUUUGUGUUGAAGGCAGGUUUACAUGUAACGUCUCAGGCUGAUGUUAAUUGUAAUUUUUAAUUGCUCAUUCUUUCUCUUCUCAUUUUUGCAGAGACAAGCAUCUGGCCCAAUGACCGGAAACAGCAAAGCAUCUGGCCAAGGGCUUCAAGGUCAACAAAAGGUACCAUCUAAGCGUAAGUAGGCCAUUUGGAAAAAAUCACCUUUCAUGCAAGAGUGCACAACCACGCACGGAGCACUGUACUGCAUGAAAACUGUAAUACUCGAAUAAACAAC
RNAcentral lists this long non-coding RNA (463 nucleotides) under Oreochromis niloticus (Nile tilapia). Its description in RNAcentral is "lncRNA (ENSONIG00000028109.1)". The record is from RNAcentral. Lineage: Eukaryota; Metazoa; Chordata; Actinopteri; Cichliformes; Cichlidae.